This 73-nucleotide transfer RNA is filed under the name Bos taurus (domestic cattle). It matches the Rfam family "tRNA". Rfam says of the family: Transfer RNA (tRNA) molecules are approximately 80 nucleotides in length. Lineage: Eukaryota; Metazoa; Chordata; Mammalia; Artiodactyla; Bovidae. RNAcentral also lists the same sequence under 4 other names. The record is from Rfam by way of RNAcentral.
UCCCUGGAGGUCCAGUGGUUAAGUCUCUGCACUUCAAAUGCAGGGGUUGCAGGUUCAAUCCCUGGUCAGGGAA